GACAAGGUGGCCGAGUGGUUAAGGCAAUGGACUGCUAAUCCUUUGUUCUGCAUGCAUGGGUUUGAGUCCCAUCCUUGUCG
Molecule: transfer RNA, 80 nt
Filed under: Alligator sinensis (Chinese alligator)
Lineage: Eukaryota; Metazoa; Chordata; Crocodylia; Alligatoridae
Rfam family: tRNA
About the family: Transfer RNA (tRNA) molecules are approximately 80 nucleotides in length. Their secondary structure includes four short double-helical elements and three loops (D, anti-codon, and T loops). Further hydrogen bonds mediate the characteristic L-shaped molecular structure. tRNAs have two regions of fundamental functional importance: the anti-codon, which is responsible for specific mRNA codon recognition, and the 3' end, to which the tRNAs corresponding amino acid is attached (by aminoacyl-tRNA synthetases). tRNAs cope with the degeneracy of the genetic code in two manners: having more than one tRNA (with a specific anti-codon) for a particular amino acid; and 'wobble' base-pairing, i.e. permitting non-standard base-pairing at the 3rd anti-codon position.
Source: Rfam by way of RNAcentral